This 69-nucleotide transfer RNA is filed under the name Marmota monax (woodchuck). RNAcentral describes it as "tRNA.Ala". Lineage: Eukaryota; Metazoa; Chordata; Mammalia; Rodentia; Sciuridae. The record is from RNAcentral.
GGUCAUAGCUCAGUGGUAGAGUGCUUGCCUAGCAUGUGAGAGGCACUGGGUUCAAUACUCAGCAGAGCA